RNAcentral lists this long non-coding RNA (871 nucleotides) under Pongo abelii (Sumatran orangutan). RNAcentral describes it as "lncRNA (ENSPPYG00000035554.1)". The record is from RNAcentral. Lineage: Eukaryota; Metazoa; Chordata; Mammalia; Primates; Hominidae.
CCCAAAUCAAUUAACAAUAGAGGAAAGUCACGCUGUUUUAAUUUUUCUCUUUAUACUGCUAUCUCCUGUUUCCCCUGUUUUUACACUUCUUUGCAGCUCACUUUCCUUAUCUGUAAGAUAUUCUUAGGAUGAACUUAGUAAGAAAUGUGCAAGAUCUAGAUGAAGACCCACCAGAUAGGAUGCUCUCUUGCAGACACGCAACUCACUGACUCAACCAAUGAGGAAAUUAUCCCACAAAGCAGAUAAUCCUAAUGGAGGGCAGAAUUCAGGACUGAGCAUCUCAGUGAUGCCGCCGGGAACCCAGGCUUCUCUGUCCCUUCACCGGACUAACCGAGUUCGAGACCACACGGGGGUCAGGUAGCCAAGGCUGGGCUUUGACGGUAGGAAUGAAGGAGGUGAGGGUGGCGCGCCGCAGGCCUGGGCCACUCCCUGAGUAGGGCGGCGGCGGCGGCGGCGGCAGCGGCUGCAGGCCCGGCCGAUUGGGAGGAGACAGCGGUGCCUCCUGGGCCGCGCACCCUACCCUUCCCGGGGUCCCGGCUCGCGCCGCGGCCGCGCGAGGCGCGCUCGAGCGGAAGUGGCGGCGAUCCCGCCGGAAGCGCGCGGCUGCGGCGCGGGAAGCAACCCAGAGCCCUCCUCCCACCUGCUCUGUGUAGGAGACAGCCUGCGGAGCCCACUGCCGGCGCGCCGAGAGCCCAGCAGCUCUUGAGUCCGGGAAGCAAGGGUGGGCGGAGGGACGAGCCAGUGGCAAUGACCCAGACUCCGACCCCCAUUGCUGACCCAGCGGAGCUGCUUGGGUCCACGAGGCUGGUCUCAGACCUAUCGGGAGUCCCUCUGCGUUAGCGGAAACCUCCAAGACGAGCCACCGGAUGCC